This 253-nucleotide ribosomal RNA is filed under the name uncultured prokaryote. RNAcentral's name for it is "partial 16S ribosomal RNA". It matches the Rfam family "Bacterial small subunit ribosomal RNA", at positions 525 to 777 of the family's 1533-position model. The record is from RNAcentral.
ACGAAGGGGGCGAGCGUUGUUCGGAUUUACUGGGCGUAAAGGGCGCGCAGGCGGCUCAUUUUGUCAGGCGUGAAAUCUCCGGGCUUAACCCGGAAAUUGCCGUUGAUACUAUCUGUCUUGAAUAUCGUGGAGGUAAGCGGAAUAUGUCAUGUAGCGGUGAAAUGCUUAGAUAUGACAUAGAACACCCAUUGCGAAGGCAGCUUACUACACGAUCAUUGACGCUGAGGCACGAAAGCGUGGGGAGCAAACAGGA